RNAcentral lists this ribosomal RNA (253 nucleotides) under uncultured bacterium. RNAcentral's name for it is "partial 16S ribosomal RNA". It matches the Rfam family "Bacterial small subunit ribosomal RNA", at positions 524 to 776 of the family's 1533-position model. The record is from RNAcentral.
UACAGAGGUCCCAAGCGUUGUUCGGAUUCAUUGGGCGUAAAGGGUGCGUAGGCGGCGCGGUAAGUCGGGUGUGAAAUCUCGGGGCUUAACUCCGAAACUGCAUUCGAUACUGCCGUGCUUGAGGACUGGAGAGGAGACUGGAAUUCACGGUGUAGCAGUGAAAUGCGUAGAGAUCGUGAGGAAGACCAGUGGCGAAGGCGGGUCUCUGGACAGUUCCUGACACUGAGGCACGAAGGCCAGGGGAGCAAACGGG